Long non-coding RNA from Haliotis rubra (blacklip abalone), 325 nucleotides. RefSeq lists it as uncharacterized. NCBI's taxonomy places the organism in Eukaryota, Metazoa, Mollusca, Gastropoda, Lepetellida, Haliotidae. The transcript has 3 exons. The record is from RefSeq and is a predicted model, not a curated record.
CGGGAUUCACAGCAACACCUCCCUGCUGUAUGCUACCAGAAAAUGCCGCAGAACUUUCAUGUGCUCCCUUUCUGACAACACCUCCAGCUGGGGUAUGUACAGACACUGUCACGAAAGUGGAGAGCUGCAUGGCCUACACAUGUGUGAUAGGGGCAUGGGUGCCAACGGGAUUCACAGCAACACCUCCCUGCUGUAUGCUACCAGAAAAUGCCGCAGAACUUUCAUGUGCUCCCUUUCUGACAACACCUCCAGCUGGGGUAUGUACAGACACUGUCACGAAAGUGGAGAGCUGCAUGGCCUACACAUGUGUGAUAGGGGCAUGGGU